GAUGAACGCUGGCGGCGUGCCUAAUACAUGCAAGUCGAGCGAACGGACGAGAAGCUUGCUUCUCUGAUGUUAGCGGCGGACGGGUGAGUAACACGUGGAUAACCUACCUAUAAGACUGGGAUAACUUCGGGAAACCGGAGCUAAUACCGGAUAAUAUUUUGAACCGCAUGGUUCAAAAGUAAAAGACGGUCUUGCUGUCACUUAUAGAUGGAUCCGCGCUUCAUUAGCUAGUUGGUAAGGUAACGGCUUACCAAGGCAACGAUGCAUAGCCGACCUGAGAGGGUGAUCGGCCACACUGGAACUGAGACACGGUCCAGACUCCUACGGGAGGCAGCAGUAGGGAAUCUUCCGCAAUGGGCGAAAGCCUGACGGAGCAACGCCGCGUGAGUGAUGAAGGUCUUCGGAUCGUAAAACUCUGUUAUUAGGGAAGAACAUAUGUGUAAGUAACUGUGCACAUCUUGACGGUACCUAAUCAGAAAGCCACGGCUAACUACGUG
Molecule: ribosomal RNA, 497 nt
Filed under: uncultured bacterium
Lineage: Bacteria
Description: partial 16S ribosomal RNA
Rfam family: Bacterial small subunit ribosomal RNA
Source: RNAcentral